This is a small nucleolar RNA of Lathyrus oleraceus (garden pea), 104 nucleotides long. NCBI's taxonomy places the organism in Eukaryota, Viridiplantae, Streptophyta, Magnoliopsida, Fabales, Fabaceae. The record is from RefSeq and is a predicted model, not a curated record.
AGUCCAUGAUGGGGAUAAAGCCUCGACAUAUCCUUGUAUAUCUCCCAUGCUUCAAAAAGAGAUUCAUUGUCUUUCUGCCUUGUUAAGUCUGACAUAUUGUGAUU